UUUUUUUUAUGCAAAUAAGGGGCCGUUUGGUUGCAUAUAGUUACAAUUGUACUGUAAUUGUAAUUGCAUGUAAAUGUAAAUUCAGUGUUUGGUUUGAUAUAUUUAACCUUAACUAUUGCAAUAGGAACUGCAAGAGGAGGUUCAACUGCAGCAGGUGGAAUUACGCCCAAAUUGGCCGCAAUUCCAACUACAGCAGCUGGAGAGAAUAACUUUAAACAAAAUAUAUCCUUACAUCAUUAGUUAUUUUUAAAGUAAAAAAUAUAUAUAUUUUUUAUAUUGGAGGUAAUCUCACCAUCAUAUCUAUAACAUGGUAAUUUUUAAAAAAUUAUUUUUCAACUGCAUACAAUCAAAUAAAUUAUUUAUAGUUGCAGUAUUUUCUACUACAUCUAAUCAAACAGAAUGGAUGUAAUUGAAACUGCUGCAUUUUCAACUGUAUGUAUGUUCAACUAUACUGUAUUUAUAAUUACAUCUAACCAAGCGGCCCCUAAUUGAAUAAUAAUAAUCUGUUAUACUCCUUGCUUUCUUACACACCACAUUUAUUUA
Molecule: long non-coding RNA, 543 nt
Filed under: Ananas comosus (pineapple)
Lineage: Eukaryota; Viridiplantae; Streptophyta; Magnoliopsida; Poales; Bromeliaceae
Description: long non-coding RNA (ACOM_LNC018678)
Source: RNAcentral